Molecule: ribosomal RNA, 241 nt
Filed under: uncultured Staphylococcus sp.
Lineage: Bacteria; Bacillati; Bacillota; Bacilli; Caryophanales; Staphylococcaceae
Description: partial 16S ribosomal RNA
Rfam family: Bacterial small subunit ribosomal RNA
Source: RNAcentral
CGGACGGGUGAGUAACACGUGGAUAACCUACCUAUAAGACUGGGAUAACUUCGGGAAACCGGAGCUAAUACCGGAUAAUAUUUUGAACCGCAUGGUUCAAAAGUGAAAGACGGUCUUGCUGUCACUUAUAGAUGGAUCCGCGCUGCAUUAGCUAGUUGGUAAGGUAACGGCUUACCAAGGCAACGAUGCAUAGCCGACCUGAUAGGGUGAUCGGCCACACUGGAACUGAGACACGGUCCAG